Molecule: long non-coding RNA, 202 nt
Filed under: Elaeis guineensis (African oil palm)
Lineage: Eukaryota; Viridiplantae; Streptophyta; Magnoliopsida; Arecales; Arecaceae
Description: long non-coding RNA (EGUI_LNC045879)
Source: RNAcentral
GUGACAACCUAGUAGAACUGAAAUGAAUCUCUAAGUAUAGUUAACGUGUGAUUCAGUCCUUCUAUCGUGAGUCCCGACUAGAUGACAGAUUAUGGAUAAAUCGUCAAAUCUCAACAUCAGUCAUAUGAUAGAUUCGAUUAGCUCAACUCCAGUUGUGACUUUUAUAGAAACUCUUUUCCAUCAAUCAUACUAUCGUGGCCAC